UACGUAGGGUGCGAGCGUUGUCCGGAAUUAUUGGGCGUAAAGGGCUCGUAGGCGGUUUGUUGCGUCGGGAGUGAAAACCUCGGGCUUAACUCGGGGCCUGCUUUCGGUACGGGCAGACUGGAGGUAUGCAGGGGAGAACGGAACAAAUGGUGGAGCGGUGAAAUGCGUAGAUAUCAUUUGGAACGCCUAUGGUGAAAACAGGUUGCUGGGGAUGUUCUGACACUGAGACGCGAAAGCCAGGGGAGCAAACGGG
RNAcentral lists this ribosomal RNA (253 nucleotides) under uncultured bacterium. Its description in RNAcentral is "partial 16S ribosomal RNA". It matches the Rfam family "Bacterial small subunit ribosomal RNA", at positions 524 to 776 of the family's 1533-position model. The record is from RNAcentral.